This 409-nucleotide long non-coding RNA is filed under the name Vigna radiata. Its description in RNAcentral is "long non-coding RNA (VRAD_LNC016048)". Lineage: Eukaryota; Viridiplantae; Streptophyta; Magnoliopsida; Fabales; Fabaceae. The record is from RNAcentral.
AGUUCUUAAGUUUAAGUCUUAGCUUGAUCAAGUAUUGAGGAAGGAGAAGCUUGGUUUUAGUGUGUCUAAAGGUGUAAGCGAUUCUCUACAAGUUGCUUAAGUUGUUGUUCAUUCCCUCGUGUGUCGAAGAAAGUUCUAUUCUUUGUUGUGUGAUUGUUAAUCUUCUUAUAAUCAUUUAACUGAUAUUUUAGUAAAAUGUCAAUCACUCUUUCUAAAGUGAUUAACAAUUGGACGUAGAAUCUUUUGAUUCGAACUAGUAUAAAAAUCAUGUGUGUGAUUUUCUUUAUCUCUACAUUAACUUGUUAUAAAAUGUUCGACGAAAGUUCUAAAAGAAAGCUAAAAUUUUAAAAGAACCAAUUCAUCCAUCCCCUCUUGGUUUGUGUUUGUUUUCACGCUCUUUAAAAUGUUC